RNAcentral lists this ribosomal RNA (253 nucleotides) under uncultured bacterium. Its description in RNAcentral is "partial 16S ribosomal RNA". It matches the Rfam family "Bacterial small subunit ribosomal RNA", at positions 524 to 776 of the family's 1533-position model. The record is from RNAcentral.
UACGAAGGGGGCUAGCGUUGUUCGGAAUUACUGGGCGUAAAGCGCACGUAGGCGGAUUGUUAAGUUAGGGGUGAAAUCCCAGGGCUCAACCCUGGAACUGCCUUUAAUACUGGCAAUCUCGAGUCCGAGAGAGGUGAGUGGAACUGCGAGUGUAGAGGUGAAAUUCGUAGAUAUUCGCAAGAACACCAGUGGCGAAGGCGGCUCACUGGCCCGGUACUGACGCUGAGGUGCGAAAGCGUGGGGAGCAAACAGG